CCUACGGGUGGCAGCAGUGGGGAAUAUUGGACAAUGGGGGGAACCCUGAUCCAGCCAUGCCGCGUGUGUGAAGAAGGCCCUCGGGUUGUAAAGCACUUUCAGUGAGGAAGAACGCCUGGUGGUUAAUACCCAUCAGGAAAGACAUCACUCACAGAAGAAGCACCGGCUAACUCCGUGCCAGCAGCCGCGGUAAUACGGAGGGUGCGAGCGUUAAUCGGAAUUACUGGGCGUAAAGCGCGCGUAGGUGGCUUGAUAAGCCGGUUGUGAAAGCCCCGGGCUCAACCUGGGAACGGCAUCCGGAACUGUCAAGCUAGAGUGCAGGAGAGGAAGGUAGAAUUCCCGGUGUAGCGGUGAAAUGCGUAGAGAUUGGGAGGAAUACCAGUGGCGAAGGCGGCCUUCUGGACUGACACUGACACUGAGGUGCGAAAGCGUGGGUAGCAAACAGGAUUAGAUACCCGGGUAGUC
Molecule: ribosomal RNA, 465 nt
Filed under: Vreelandella stevensii
Lineage: Bacteria; Pseudomonadati; Pseudomonadota; Gammaproteobacteria; Oceanospirillales; Halomonadaceae
Description: partial 16S ribosomal RNA
Rfam family: Bacterial small subunit ribosomal RNA
Source: RNAcentral